UUCCUCCUCUCUCUUUUUGCCCCAUAUUUUUCUCUCUUCCUCCUCUCUCUCUCUCACGCGUUUCUCUACCAAACGAAACCGAAGGCGAUUUGCCUCAAAUCAGAAGCAAUCGGAGGAGUCUCCGAUGUUUAUGACCUCCAGCGGAAUAUCGUGAAGAAGAGAGGUCUCGAUUCCAAUUUCAUCAUUGAUUCCGCUGGAACCAUUGAUUAUCAUGAGGUUGGAACAUUUAGUGUUGAACGUAUUGAGAUGGAGGUUACGAGCCAUGACACCGUGCUCUUACGUGAGAUACUUCAUGUGUAAGAUCAAUGGUUAUGAUCAAGAACCACACAGCAGAUUGAUAUCCAGAUCACUACAAGUGAUAGCCAGCACAACCUUAGUUUUCUAAACCUCAGUUUUGCUUUUGGGUUAUGGACUUUUGGGUUAGAAAUGAUUGAUGGUGGUUGUGAAAAAGAUAGUUGAUGUAUAGGCAAUACACUAAUGCACACAUUGUCUAUUUAUAUCCCCUAUUUGAAUCCC
Long non-coding RNA from Arabidopsis lyrata subsp. lyrata, 516 nucleotides. RefSeq lists it as uncharacterized. The transcript has 2 exons. The record is from RefSeq and is a predicted model, not a curated record. NCBI's taxonomy places the organism in Eukaryota, Viridiplantae, Streptophyta, Magnoliopsida, Brassicales, Brassicaceae.